GAUGAACGCUGGCGGCGUGCUUAACACAUGCAAGUCGAACGAAGCACCUUGAUUUGAUUCUUCGGAUGAAGAUCCUGGUGACUGAGUGGCGGACGGGUGAGUAACGCGUGGGUAACCUGCCUCAUACAGGGGGAUAACAGUUAGAAAUGACUGCUAAUACCGCAUAAGACCACAGCACCGCAUGGUGCAGGGGUAAAAACUCCGGUGGUAUGAGAUGGACCCGCGUCUGAUUAGGUAGUUGGUGGGGUAACGGCCUACCAAGCCGACGAUCAGUAGCCGAUCUGAGAGGGUGACCGGCCACAUUGGGACUGAGACACGGCCCAAACUCCUACGGGAGGCAGCAGUGGGGAAUAUUGCACAAUGGGGGAAACCCUGAUGCAGCGACGCCGCGUGAGCGAUGAAGUAUUUCGGUAUGUAAAGCUCUAUCAGCAGGGAAGAAAAUGACGGUACCUGACUAAGAAGCAC
This 465-nucleotide ribosomal RNA is filed under the name uncultured bacterium. RNAcentral's name for it is "bacterial SSU rRNA". It matches the Rfam family "Bacterial small subunit ribosomal RNA", at positions 28 to 493 of the family's 1533-position model. The record is from RNAcentral.